GAUGAACGCUGGCGGCGUGCCUAAUACAUGCAAGUCGAGCGAACGGACGAGAAGCUUGCUUUUCUGAUGUUAGCGGCGGACGGGUGAGUAACACGUGGAUAACCUACCUAUAAGACUGGGAUAACUUCGGGAAACCGGAGCUAAUACCGGAUAAUAUUUUGAACCGCAUGGUUCAAAAGUGAAAGACGGUCUUGCUGUCACUUAUAGAUGGAUCCGCGCUGCAUUAGCUAGUUGGUAAGGUAACGGCUUACCAAGGCAACGAUGCAUAGCCGACCUGAGAGGGUGAUCGGCCACACUGGAACUGAGACACGGUCCAGACUCCUACGGGAGGCAGCAGUAGGGAAUCUUCCGCAAUGGGCGAAAGCCCGACGGAGCAACGCCGCGUGAGUGAUGAAGGUCUUCGGAUCGUAAAACUCUGUUAUUAGGGAAGAACAUAUGUGUAAGUAACUGUGCACAUCUUGACGGUACCUAAUCAGAAAGCCACGGCUAACUACGUGCCAGCAGCCGCGGUAAUACGUAGGUGGCAAGCGUUAUCCGGAAUUAUUGGGCGUAAAGCGCGCGUAGGCGGUUUUUUAAGUCUGAUGUGAAAGCCCACGGCUCAACCGUGGAGGGUCAUUGGAAACUGGAAAACUUGAGUGCAGAAGAGGAAAGUGGAAUUCCAUGUGUAGCGGUGAAAUGCGCAGAGAUGUGGAGGAACACCAGUGGCGAAGGCGACUUUCUGGUCUGUAACUGACGCUGAUGUGCGAAAGCGUGGGGAUCAAACAGGAUUAGAUACCCUGGUAGUCCACGCCGUAAACGAUGAGUGCUAAGUGUUAGGGGGUUUCCGCCCCUUAGUGCUGCAGCUAACGCAUUAAGCACUCCGCCUGGGGAGUACGACCGCAAGGUUGAAACUCAAAGGAAUUGACGGGGGCCCGCACAAGCGGUGGAGCAUGUGGUUUAAUUCGAAGCAACGCGAAGAACCUUACCAAAUCUUGACAUCCUUUGACAACUCUAGAGAUAGAGCCUUCCCCUUCGGGGGACAAAGUGACAGGUGGUGCAUGGUUGUCGUCAGCUCGUGUCGUGAGAUGUUGGGUUAAGUCCCGCAACGAGCGCAACCCUUAAGCUUAGUUGCCAUCAUUAAGUUGGGCACUCUAAGUUGACUGCCGGUGACAAACCGGAGGAAGGUGGGGAUGACGUCAAAUCAUCAUGCCCCUUAUGAUUUGGGCUACACGCGUGCUACAAUGGACAAUACAAAGGGCAGCGAAACCGCGAGGUCAAGCAAAUCCCAUAAAGUUGUUCUCAGUUCGGAUUGUAGUCUGCAACUCGACUACAUGAAGCUGGAAUCGCUAGUAAUCGUAGAUCAGCAUGCUACGGUGAAUACGUUCCCGGGUCU
RNAcentral lists this ribosomal RNA (1372 nucleotides) under uncultured bacterium. Its description in RNAcentral is "bacterial SSU rRNA". It matches the Rfam family "Bacterial small subunit ribosomal RNA", at positions 28 to 1381 of the family's 1533-position model. The record is from RNAcentral.